UGUAUGUGGGAGGCGAACGUUGAUAACCACUACACUAGGGAAACACGCACCACCCUGAACUCACCCGAUCCCGUCUGAUCUCGGAAGCUAAGCAGGGUCGGGCCUGAAUGAAGAAAAUCCACAACAAACAAUCUAAUUCCUCCAGGUGUGAACCUUGAGUCGCCACAGAGAGAAACUGGAAAGAAUUUGUGCAGGAGAGAGAAAUGUCGAGAGAUGCACCACGAGAGAGUGGAAUCCAGCAGCAGCACGUGGAGUGGAUGCAGAAAGGUCUGAAGAGAGUCCUGAGUGCGGCCUUGCUGAAUUCCCUGGUCUGGCAUUCCACUUGAACCACCCUACCCAAAUUUGUU
Long non-coding RNA from Suricata suricatta (meerkat), 347 nucleotides. RefSeq lists it as uncharacterized. The record is from RefSeq and is a predicted model, not a curated record. Lineage: Eukaryota; Metazoa; Chordata; Mammalia; Carnivora; Herpestidae. The transcript has 4 exons.